CAGGCUUAACACAUGCAAGUCGAGGGGCAGCAUGGUCUUAGCUUGCUAAGGCCGAUGGCGACCGGCGCACGGGUGAGUAACACGUAUCCAACCUGCCGUCUACUCUUGGACAGCCUUCUGAAAGGAAGAUUAAUACAAGAUGGCAUCAUGAGUCCGCAUGUUCACAUGAUUAAAGGUAUUCCGGUAGACGAUGGAGAUGCGUUCCAUUAGAUAGUAGGCGGGGUAACGGCCCACCUAGUCUUCGAUGGAUAGGGGUUCUGAGAGGAAGGUCCCCCACAUUGGAACUGAGACACGGUCCAAACUCCUACGGGAGGCAGCAGUGAGGAAUAUUGGUCAAUGGGCGAGAGCCUGAACCAGCCAAGUAGCGUGAAGGAUGACUGCCCUAUGGGUUGUAAACUUCUUUUAUAAAGGAAUAAAGUCGGGUAUGGAUACCCGUUUGCAUGUACUUUAUGAAUAAGGAUCGGCUAACUCCGUGCCAGCAGCCGCGGUAAUACGGAGGAUCCGAGCGUUAUCCGGAUUUAUUGGGUUUAAAGGGAGCGUAGAUGGAUGUUUAAGUCAGUUGUGAAAGUUUGCGGCUCAACCGUAAAAUUGCAGUUGAUACUGGAUAUCUUGAGUGCAGUUGAGGCAGGCGGAAUUCGUGGUGUAGCGGUGAAAUGCUUAGAUAUCACGAAGAACUCCGAUUGCGAAGGCAGCCUGCUAAGCUGCAACUGACAUUGAGGCUCGAAAGUGUGGGUAUCAAACAGGAUUAGAUACCCUGGUAGUCCACACGGUAAACGAUGAAUACUCGCUGUUUGCGAUAUACUGCAAGCGGCCAAGCGAAAGCGUUAAGUAUUCCACCUGGGGAGUACGCCGGCAACGGUGAAACUCAAAGGAAUUGACGGGGGCCCGCACAAGCGGAGGAACAUGUGGUUUAAUUCGAUGAUACGCGAGGAACCUUACCCGGGCUUAAAUUGCAGAUGAAUUACGGUGAAAGCCGUAAGCCGCAAGGCAUCUGUGAAGGUGCUGCAUGGUUGUCGUCAGCUCGUGCCGUGAGGUGUCGGCUUAAGUGCCAUAACGAGCGCAACCCUUGUUGUCAGUUACUAACAGGUUCCGCUGAGGACUCUGACAAGACUGCCAUCGUAAGAUGUGAGGAAGGUGGGGAUGACGUCAAAUCAGCACGGCCCUUACGUCCGGGGCUACACACGUGUUACAAUGGGGGGUACAGAGGGCCGCUACCACGCGAGUGGAUGCCAAUCCCCAAAACCUCUCUCAGUUCGGACUGGAGUCUGCAACCCGACUCCACGAAGCUGGAUUCGCUAGUAAUCGCGCAUCAGCCACGGCGCGGUGAAUACGUUCCCGGGCCUUGUACACACCGCCCGUCAAGCCAUGGGAGCCGGGGGUACCUGAAGUGCGUAACCGCGAGGAGCGCCCUAGGGUAAAACUGGUGACUGGGGCUAAGUCGU
RNAcentral lists this ribosomal RNA (1442 nucleotides) under uncultured organism. Its description in RNAcentral is "16S ribosomal RNA". It matches the Rfam family "Bacterial small subunit ribosomal RNA". The record is from RNAcentral.